This 190-nucleotide unclassified non-coding RNA is filed under the name Glomus sp. RNAcentral describes it as "partial contains 5.8S ribosomal RNA and internal transcribed spacer 2". The stretch from base 1 to 65 matches the Rfam family "5.8S ribosomal RNA", at positions 84 to 154 of the family's 154-position model. Lineage: Eukaryota; Fungi; Glomeromycota; Glomeromycetes; Glomerales; Glomeraceae. The record is from RNAcentral.
GUGAAUCAUCGAAUCUUUGAACGCAAAUUGCACUCUCUUCGGAGAGUAUGCCUGUUUGAGGGUCGGCCUAAAAAAAAUCGACUAAGUUGCGGUUCUGCGGUAACAUCGGUCGGAAAUUGGGUCAUCUUAAACCUUUGGGUUUAGGCGGCUAAAAAUUUUUUUUACUAUUCUAAGAACGUUCCUAACUUUU